Molecule: ribosomal RNA, 267 nt
Filed under: uncultured bacterium
Lineage: Bacteria
Description: partial 16S ribosomal RNA
Rfam family: Bacterial small subunit ribosomal RNA
Source: RNAcentral
GUCCUAGCUGUAAACGAUGGGCACUAGGCAGUGGAGGUCCGAUGCCGUCACUGUCGGAGUAAAUAUGUUAAGUGCCCCGCCUGGGGAGUACGGCCGCAAGGCUGAAACUCAAAGGAAUUGACGGGGGCUCACACAAGCGGUGGAGCAUGUGGUUCAAUUCGAAGCAACGCGCAGAACCUUACCAGGGUUUGAAAUGCACGGAUUAGCCUCCCGAAACGGAGGUGACGCCCUUGGGUGGAACGUGCACAGGUGUUGCAUGGCUGUCGU